This 379-nucleotide ribosomal RNA is filed under the name marine Metazoa environmental sample. RNAcentral's name for it is "SSU rRNA". It matches the Rfam family "Eukaryotic small subunit ribosomal RNA", at positions 587 to 972 of the family's 1831-position model. Lineage: Eukaryota; Metazoa. The record is from RNAcentral.
AGCUCCAAUAGCGUAUAUUAAAGUUGUUGCAGUUAAAAAGCUCGUAGUUGGAUUUCGGAAUGGGUCAGUUGGUCCGCCGCAAGGUGAGUUACUGACUGAUUUGUUCUUCUUCGCAAAGACUGCGUGUGCUCUUUACUGAGUGUACGUAGGAUUUACGACGUUUACUUUGAAAAAAUUAGAGUGUUCAAAGCAGGCUAUCGCUUGAAUACAUGAGCAUGGAAUAAUGGAAUAGGACAUUGGUUCUAUUUUGUUGGUUUCUAGGACCGAAGUAAUGAUUAAGAGGGACAAUUGGGAGCAUCUGUAUUUCGUUGUCAGAGGUGAAAUUCUUGGAUUUACGAAAGACGAACAACUGCGAAAGCACUUGCCAAGAGUGUUUUCA